UAGACAUCAAAACUGAUGUUUGAACCAGGUCAAAUAGACAUCAAAACUGAUGUUUGAACCGGGUCAAAUAGACAUCAACACUGAUGUUUGAACCAGGUCAAAUAGACAUCAAAACUGAUGUUUGAAUCAGGUCAAAUAGACAUCAACACUGAUGUUUGAACCAGGUCAAAUAGACAUCAAAACUGAUGUUUGAACCGGGUGAAAUAGACAUCAACACUGAUGUUUGAACCAGGUCAAAUAGACAUCAAAACUGAUGUUUGAACCGGGUCAAAUAGACAUCAACACUGAUGUUUGAACCAGGUCAAAUAGACAUCAAAACUGAUGUUUGAACCGGGUCAAAUAGACAUCAAAACUGAUGUUUGAACCGGGUUAAAUAGACAUCAACACUGAUGUUUGAACGAGGUCAAAUAGACAUCAAAACUGAUGUUUGAAUCAGGUCAAAUAGACAUCAAAACUGAUGUUUGAACCGGGUCAAAUAGACAUCAAAACUGAUGUUUGAACCGGGUUAAAUAGACAUCAACACUGAUGUUUGAACGAGGUCAAAUAGACAUCAAAACUGAUGUUUGAACCGGGUCAAAUAGACAUCAACACUGAUGUUUGAACCAGGUCAAAUAGACAUCAAAACUGAUGUUUGAAUCAGGUCAAAUAGACAUCAAAACUGAUGUUUGAACCGGGUCAAAUAGACAUCAACACUGAUGUUUGAACCAGGUCAAAUAGACAUCAAAACUGAUGUUUGAAUCAGGUCAAAUAGACAUCAACACUGAUGUUUGAACCAGGUCAAAUAGACAUCAAAACUGAUGUUUGAACCGGGUCAAAUAGACAUCAACACUGAUGUUUGAACCAGGUCAAAUAGACAUCAAAACUGAUGUUUGAACCAAGUCAAAUAGACAUCAACACUGAUGUUUGAACCAGGUCAAAUAGACAUCAAAACUGAUGUUU
Long non-coding RNA from Oncorhynchus keta (chum salmon), 939 nucleotides. RefSeq lists it as uncharacterized. Lineage: Eukaryota; Metazoa; Chordata; Actinopteri; Salmoniformes; Salmonidae. The transcript has 3 exons. The record is from RefSeq and is a predicted model, not a curated record.